UGCCAAGGGAGCUGAAGACAUACAUCAACCAGAGAUUUCUCCUUCUGUAAGAUCACUUUUCUUUCUUAUGGAUGAUCUAAAGAUAGGGAAAACAAUAACAAAUCCCUCCUUUCUACAUCGUGCUUCCAUGCAAUACUUUCCCCAAAAAGCAACCGAUUCCAUUCCAUUUUUACUGAAGGAACUCCCAAACCUUCUUCAACGUUUCUCCUUAUCUAAAAACUCUCCACAUGCAAAACCCAUGAUAGAUGCAUUGAAAGACUGUGAAUCAGAAUCACUCAUAAAGGGAGAGACAAGGUACUGUGCCACAUCCGCGGAGGCAAUGCUUGAUUUUGUUCAAGGAAUCAUGGGAGAUAACACCCAAAUCGAAGCUCUGUCCACCACAACUCAUUUCUCAGAGGAGCACUCAACUACUCCCCUCCAAAACUAUACUAUUUUGGAUGCUCAAGAAUUUACCCCUCCUAAGAUGGUGGCGUGUCAUUUGAUGCCUAGUAUUUACACCGUUUUCUACUGUCAUUCCACAGUUAGCAGUAAAGGAAAGGUGUUCAAGGUUACAUUAGGGAAUGAAGCAAAGGGUGAUAGAGUGGAAACUAUGGCUUUAUGUCACUUUGAUACCUCUGAAUGGAGUCCAUCUCAUGUAUCUUUCCAAGUGCUCGGUAUAUUACCAGGAACAUCACCUGUCUGUCACUUCUUCACAUCUGGUAAUGACCUAGUGUGGGUUCCAAAAACAAUUGACGCCGGACAUGAAGUGCGCAGCUUGGAGG
RNAcentral lists this long non-coding RNA (761 nucleotides) under Capsicum annuum. RNAcentral describes it as "long non-coding RNA (CANN_LNC021107)". The record is from RNAcentral. Lineage: Eukaryota; Viridiplantae; Streptophyta; Magnoliopsida; Solanales; Solanaceae.